This 345-nucleotide ribosomal RNA is filed under the name uncultured Tremellales. Its description in RNAcentral is "eukaryotic LSU rRNA". The stretch from base 1 to 125 matches the Rfam family "5.8S ribosomal RNA", at positions 30 to 154 of the family's 154-position model. The record is from RNAcentral. Lineage: Eukaryota; Fungi; Basidiomycota; Tremellomycetes; Tremellales.
GCAUCGAUGAAGAACGCAGCGAAAAGCGAUAAUUAAUGUGAAUUGCAAAUUUAAGUGAAUCAUCGAACCUUUGAACGCACCUUGCGCCCCUUAGUAAUCUGGGGGGUAUGCCUGUUUGAGUGUCAUGAAAACCUCAUCCCAUCGGGUCACCGAUGGUGAUGGAUCUGGGUGUUGCCAUCUUGGCUCGCCUUAAAAGUCUCAGUGGUUCCGAAGUCGGAUCUGGCGUAAUAAGUUUCGCUGGCCAAGACGGAAGGCUGCUCAUAACCCGUCUUCUGACAUUUUUUGCUCUGACCUCAAAUCAGGUAGGACUACCCGCUGAACUUAAGCAUAUCAAUAAGCGGAGGA